Molecule: ribosomal RNA, 495 nt
Filed under: uncultured bacterium
Lineage: Bacteria
Also listed under: 1 other name
Description: bacterial SSU rRNA
Rfam family: Bacterial small subunit ribosomal RNA
Source: RNAcentral
UUAGGUUUGUAAAGCUCUUGUACCCGGGUAUGAUAAUCACAGUACCGUGGAGAAUAAGCUCCGGCUAACUCCGUGCCAGCAUGCCGCGGUAAUACGGAGGGAGUUAGCGUUGUUCGGAAUUACUGGGCGUAAAGCGCACGUAGGCGGCUAUUCAAGUCAGAGGUGAAAGCCCGGGGCUCAACCCCGGAAUCUGCCUUUGAUAACUAGAUAGUCUUGAAUCCAGGAGUAGGUGAGUGGAAUUCCGAGUGUAGAGGUGAAAUUCGUAGAUAUUCGGAAGAAUCACCAGUGGUCGAAGUGCGGCUCAUCUGGACUGGUAUUGACGUCUGAGGUGCGAAAGCGUGGGGAGCAAACAGGAUUAGAUACCCCUGGUAGUCCACGCCGUAAACGAUGAUAACUAGCUGUCAGGGCACAUGGUGUUUUGGUGGCGCAGCUAACGCGUUAAGUUAUCCGCCUGGGGAGUACGGUCGCAAGAUUAAAACUCAAAGGAAUUGACGG